Non-coding RNA from Bos taurus (domestic cattle), 73 nucleotides. The record is from Rfam. Lineage: Eukaryota; Metazoa; Chordata; Mammalia; Artiodactyla; Bovidae.
UCCUUGAUGGUUCAGUGGUUAAGACUCCAUGCUCCCAAUGCAAGGGACCCAGGUUCGUUUCCUGGUCAGGGAA